GUCUAGCUGAUGCUCAUGAAUAAAUUUCAAAAUUUUGGUCCUAACUUUUAGAGCCCUACAAGGACAGGCACCCCCAUACAUCUCUGACCUGAUACAGCUGCGUACAUCCUCACGUAGUCUGAGAUCAACAGGCCAGAGACUAUUAGUUGUCCCCC
Pimephales promelas (fathead minnow) is the source of this 155-nucleotide non-coding RNA. The record is from RefSeq and is a predicted model, not a curated record. Lineage: Eukaryota; Metazoa; Chordata; Actinopteri; Cypriniformes; Leuciscidae.